Molecule: ribosomal RNA, 395 nt
Filed under: Cryptosporidium parvum
Lineage: Eukaryota; Apicomplexa; Conoidasida; Eucoccidiorida; Cryptosporidiidae
Description: SSU rRNA
Rfam family: Eukaryotic small subunit ribosomal RNA
Source: RNAcentral
UUAAUAAUUUAUAUAAAAUAUUAUUGAUGAAUAUUUAUAUAAUAUUAACAUAAUUCAUAUUACUAUAUAUUUUAGUAUAUGAAAUUUUACUUUGAGAAAAUUAGAGUGCUUAAAGCAGGCAUAUGCCUUGAAUACUCCAGCAUGGAAUAAUAUUAAAGAUUUUUAUCUUUCUUAUUGGUUCUAAGAUAAGAAUAAUGAUUAAUAGGGACAGUUGGGGGCAUUUGUAUUUAACAGUCAGAGGUGAAAUUCUUAGAUUUGUUAAAGACAAACUAAUGCGAAAGCAUUUGCCAAGGAUGUUUUCAUUAAUCAAGAACGAAAGUUAGGGGAUCGAAGACGAUCAGAUACCGUCGUAGUCUUAACCAUAAACUAUGCCUAACUAAAGAUUGGAGGUUGUU